CCACAAUGAAAGUAGAUGUCCGUUGGCCAUAAACGGGAUCACUAUCAUUGUGA
RNAcentral lists this microRNA precursor (53 nucleotides) under Ciona intestinalis (vase tunicate). RNAcentral's name for it is "microRNA cin-mir-4045 precursor". The record is from miRBase by way of RNAcentral. Lineage: Eukaryota; Metazoa; Chordata; Ascidiacea; Phlebobranchia; Cionidae.